CUGUGAAUAUUCUUGCUAAUCUGAUUUUGUAAUAGUCAAGGCAGGCUAAAACAUUCACUAUAUUAAGACCAUGCAUGUGUCCCCAGACCUAGUUCUUUCCCUAGGUCUAGUUUUUAUAAAUGUUGGUGAUCAAC
RNAcentral lists this small nucleolar RNA (134 nucleotides) under Canis lupus familiaris (dog). Its description in RNAcentral is "Small nucleolar RNA SNORA72 (ENSCAFG00000026411.2, ENSCAFG00030014285.1, ENSCAFG00040021614.1)". It matches the Rfam family "Small nucleolar RNA SNORA72". Rfam says of the family: U72 is a member of the H/ACA class of snoRNAs. The snoRNA gene is located in intron 4 of the ribosomal L30 protein gene in human, mouse and chicken. The record is from RNAcentral. Lineage: Eukaryota; Metazoa; Chordata; Mammalia; Carnivora; Canidae.